UGGGCGGCGCGCUUAACACAUGCAAGUCGCACGAGAAAGCCGGAGCAAUCUGGUGAGUAAAGUGGCGUACGGGUGAGUAACACGUGGAUCAUUUUACCUCUUGGUGGGGAAUAACCCUGGGAAACCGGGGCUAAUACCGCAUAAGCCUGCGAAGGGAAAGCAGCAAUGCGCCGAGAGAGGAGUCCGCGGCCGAUUUAGCUAGUUGGUAGGGUAAUGGCCUACCAAGGCAAUGAUCGGUAGCCGGCCUGAGAGGGCACACGGCCACACUGGCACUGAAACACGGGCCAGACUCCUACGGGAGGCAGCAGUGGGGAAUCUUGCACAAUGGAGGCAACUCUGAUGCCAGCGACGCCGCGUGAGCGAUGAAGCCCUUCGGGGUGUAAAGCUCUUUCGACGGGAACGAUUAUGACGGUACCCGGAGAAGAAGCUGCGGCUAACUACGUGCCAGCAGCCGC
This 455-nucleotide ribosomal RNA is filed under the name uncultured bacterium. RNAcentral describes it as "bacterial SSU rRNA". It matches the Rfam family "Bacterial small subunit ribosomal RNA", at positions 38 to 518 of the family's 1533-position model. The record is from RNAcentral.